Molecule: ribosomal RNA, 492 nt
Filed under: uncultured bacterium
Lineage: Bacteria
Description: partial 16S ribosomal RNA
Rfam family: Bacterial small subunit ribosomal RNA
Source: RNAcentral
AGUGAACGCUGGCGGUAGGCCUAACACAUGCAAGUCGAACGGCAGCACAGUAAGAGCUUGCUCUUACGGGUGGCGAGUGGCGGACGGGUGAGGAAUACAUCGGAAUCUACUUUUUCGUGGGGGAUAACGUAGGGAAACUUACGCUAAUACCGCAUACGACCUACGGGUGAAAGCAGGGGAUCUUCGGACCUUGCGCGAUUGAAUGAGCCGAUGUCGGAUUAGCUAGUUGGCGGGGUAAAGGCCCACCAAGGCGACAAUCCGUAGCUGGUCUGAGAGGAUGAUCAGCCACACUGGAACUGAGACACGGUCCAGACUCCUACGGGAGGCAGCAGUGGGGAAUAUUGGACAAUGGGCGCAAGCCUGAUCCAGCCAUACCGCGUGGGUGAAGAAGGCCUUCGGGUUGUAAAGCCCUUUUGUUGGGAAAGAAGAGCAGCAGGUUAAUACCCCGCUGUUCUGACGGUACCCAAAGAAUAAGCACCGGCUAACUUCGUG